RNAcentral lists this unclassified non-coding RNA (338 nucleotides) under soil metagenome. Its description in RNAcentral is "partial contains 5.8S ribosomal RNA, internal transcribed spacer 2, and large subunit ribosomal RNA". The stretch from base 1 to 120 matches the Rfam family "5.8S ribosomal RNA", at positions 35 to 154 of the family's 154-position model. The record is from RNAcentral.
GAUGAAGAACGCAGUGAAAUGCGAUACGUAGUGUGAAUUGCAGAAUUCAGUGAAUCAUCGAAUCUUUGAACGCACAUUGCACCUCUCGGUAUUCCGGGAGGUAUGCCUGUUCGAGCGUCAUUUGUACCCUCAAGCUCUGCUUGGUGUUGGGUGUUUGUUCCGCCUCUGUGUGUGAACUCGCCUCAAAACAAUUGGCAGCCGGCGUACUUGUUUCGGAGCGCAGCACAUUUUGCGAUCCAGAUCAACGUACAGCGGCAUCCAAGAAGCCUUAUUUAACGCUCUUGACCUCGGAUCAGGUAGGGAUACCCGCUGAACUUAAGCAUAUCAAUAAGCGGAGA